UAUCUACAAGAUGUGAAUGUAUAAAAUUUAUGAAAUGUAUUCACCCAAGGAAAUUUCAGAACAUUGAGGUUUCAACACAAACAUCAUCUUGUGACAAGUUAGAAAUUAUAGUAACAGUGAAUUCCAAGCGAAUAUGCAUGGACCCUAAUGCUGAAGAAGGGAAAGCUAUAAUUUCUUGCUGGAAAAGGAAUGAACGCAACAUAAAAAAGGUGAAGACAUGCAUAAGGAGAAAAUUGAGAAAUGGAAAGGAAAAAAAGAAAAAAGCCAGAAGAUAAA
This is a long non-coding RNA of Nanorana parkeri, 276 nucleotides long. RefSeq lists it as uncharacterized. The record is from RefSeq and is a predicted model, not a curated record. The transcript is spliced from 3 exons. NCBI's taxonomy places the organism in Eukaryota, Metazoa, Chordata, Amphibia, Anura, Dicroglossidae.